Pongo pygmaeus (Bornean orangutan) is the source of this 2639-nucleotide long non-coding RNA. RefSeq lists it as uncharacterized. NCBI's taxonomy places the organism in Eukaryota, Metazoa, Chordata, Mammalia, Primates, Hominidae. The transcript is spliced from 3 exons. The record is from RefSeq and is a predicted model, not a curated record.
GCCGCCGCCGCCGCCGCUCGGUGCCGCCGCCAGCACCUCCUCCGCCCCUCCGCCCCUCCGCCUCCCGGGCUCUUCCCGCGGGGGCGGUGUUACCUCCUCGCCGCCCAGGCCCGGGCACCACGGGCGGCAGCCGCCCCUCCCGAGCGCGAUCUCCAGGCUGGAGUUCAACAAUUUUUAUGAAUUUCUAAUCCAACCUCAUCAUUCUAUGGGAAACAGAAGACCACCAAGAACAGCCAGCUGGUAUCUUGGCAGUAACCUCCUCCAUAUAUUUCCUUGGCCCUCAGCUUACAUCUGGCAAAAUGACUCUAUUGGUUCCAGGCUUCGCAUCCAUACAACAUGGUGUUGGAGGAACAGAGAUGUUUUCUCUUCCUGGUGUUUUCCCAGACAUUUCCCAGACAUUUCUUAGCUGGCAUUUCAAACAAGGGUCCUGAAAUUCACCCUGGUUGGGUCAUGUUCUCCCCUUCCCAUUCCCCAUCCCCACCCCCAACCGAAAAAUGAUGUAAGCAGGGGAAAUUGAAUGUACCAAUGUUUGUUUUUAAACAAGCCACAGCCCCCUCCCCAACCCCCCCAACUGAAGCUUGAAGUCGGAUCAGCUUUCCCUAAAGUACUUGAGCUUAUGGUAAAGCAUAUAUGUUAUCCAAGUUAAAGUCUGGAUGCUGUUAGUAAUGGGAAGGCAAGUAAUGAAUGUUAGCUAUGGCGCCAACAGACAGUGUCCACUCCAUUGUCUUUAAGGCCCAAUAAAAGACAACCUCUUUACCAAUGUCGGUUUAUUUAUUCAUUUAUUUAUUUAUUGAGAUGGAGUCUCACUCUGUCACCCAAGCUGGAGUGCAGUGGAAUGAUCUCAGCUCACUGCAAUUUCUGCCUCCCAGGUUCAAGCGAUCUCCUGCUUCAGCCUCCCAAGUAGCUGGGAUUACAGGCGCACACCACCAUGCCCGGCUAAUUUUUAUAUUUUUAGUAGAGAUAGGGUUUCACCAUGUUGGCCAAGCUGGUCUCGAACACCUGACCUCAAGUGAUCUGCCUGCCUCAGCCCCCAAAGGUGUGAGCCACUGCACCUGGCCACAAUGUCAGUUUCUAUAAAAACUGCCUUGACUUGCUUUAUUUGCUUGUUUUGUUUGUUUUUUAAUUUUUAUUAUUUUUUUUUAGAGACAGGGUCUCAAUCUGUUGCCCAGGCUUGAGUGCAGUGGUGCAAUCUGGUGCCCAGGCUUGACUGAAGUGUUGGACUCCCAGGCUCAAGCAGUCCUCCCACCUCAGCCUCCCAAGUAGCUGGGACUACAGGCAUGCACCACCCUGUCUGGCUAAUUUUUUAUUUUUAGUAGAGAUGAGGUCUCACUAUGUUGCCCAAGGUGGCCUCAAACUCCUGGCCUCAAGUACUCCUCUGGCCUCAGCCUCCCAAAGCUCUGGGAUUGCAGGUAUGAGCUGCCAUGCCCGGCCUACUGUAUAUUUUAUGCAUUUGAUAUAAGUCUUGCCUCCCUAAGUAUAUUACAAGUCCCUUGAGGUUAAAGACAUUAGAUUCCUACUCAGUGCUGAGCUGCAACAGAGAGUACUCAAUGAAGGAUAAAAUAAUUUUAGCAUGCAUUCAGCGAUAUAUAUUUAGAAAGUGGAACUAGGUGGUUGAAAAAAGUGUAUAGAUGGGUGGAAGGGAAUAUUACAGCUCUUAGAAUUGCCCUAAGGUGAGAGUAACUAAGUAAUGAAUCCCUGGGUUCACUCAAGCAACUUCACUCCCUAAAACAAGAGCCCACAGAAUCCCAUUUCUGCUUUCAGAAUGAGUUUGAGGCCAAUAUCAUUUCCUUUUUUUUUUUUCUUUUUCUUUCUUUCUUUCUUUUUUCCCUUUUUUUUUCUUUUUUUUUUUUUUUUUUUUGAGACGGAGUUUCACUCUUGUUGCCCAGGCUGGUUUGAUCUCGGCUCACUGCAACCUCUGCCCCUGGGUUCAAGCGAUUCUCCUGUCUCAACCUCCCAAGCUGGGAUUACAAGCAUGCGCUACUACACCUGCCUAAUUUUGUAUUUUUAGUAGAGAUGGGGUUUCUCCGUGUUGGUCCGGCUGGUCUCAAACUCCCGACCUCAGGUGAUCUGCCCACCUCGGCCCAGCCUCCAAUAUGAUUUUCUAAUAGCUGUGUUUGAUGAUUAUAUUUAUUCCUCCAUCAGUAGCUUUUUUAGCCUUGAAAAUAUCUAUUUAAGUUUCUUAUUUCCUUUGGAUCUAUCAAAGUGUUUUUCCCCAAGUGGCACCUGGGAAAACAUAUUCUAUUCAUUUCUUUUGUAACUGUUCCCUUGACCUCUUUAUUGCUUCCCUAUUACAACCCAAGAUGCUCUUGUAAACCUGACUUAAUAUUGGCAGUCUUCAUCCCUUGCAAAUGGAAGUGAUGACAGACCCAAUACUUUGUGUAAAAAUAUUUUGCUAUUUCUAUACAAAAUAUUUUAUUAAUGGAAACCACAUGUUAUGUAUUUUACAAAUGUUAUGACUUGAAAUUUAUGUUAUGACUUGAAAUUGGGGAAUCUGAUAUGUCUCUAAUAACAAAGGCUUCACAGUACAACUGUUGUUUGUAGAUUUACAGAUGGCUGGCAUUUUAAUUUUUUAAUUUAAAUUUUUAAUUCAAAUAUGAUUGACCUGAAAUAUUAACAAAAAUUAUCCUUGAAUUGUUGCA